GGAGUGUAAAAUGUUAAAUUACUGCAUAAAUGGGGACAGCGCCAUCUGGCUGAUGCGUGAUGGCAUUUAGUGCACGGAAUAGGGACCACCCACAGCAGAGAUAAUGAGACACGCUGUGGAACUGAUUCAUUCUCCAUAAAGUGAAACCCCUAUUUCCAC
Molecule: long non-coding RNA, 159 nt
Organism: Rhinichthys klamathensis goyatoka
Lineage: Eukaryota; Metazoa; Chordata; Actinopteri; Cypriniformes; Leuciscidae
Exons: 2
Source: RefSeq, a predicted model, not a curated record